GCAGGGGGCGGGACCAGAGGCGGUCACGUGAGGGGCUCUGGGCUACCGGGUCACGUGACCGAGGCACAGAUCAGCUGAUGCCGGAGGGUUUGAAGCCGCGCCGCGAGGGAGCGAGGUCGCAGUGACAGCGGCGGGCGAUCGGACCCAGGCUGCCCCGCCGUACCCGCCUGCGUCCCGCGCUCCCGCCCCAGCAUGACAGCCCCGGCGGGUCCGCGCGGCUCAGAGACCGAGCGGCUUCUGACCCCCAACCCCGGGUAUGGGACCCAGGCGGGGCCUUCGCCGGCCCCUCCGACACCCCCAGAAGAGGAAGACCUUCGCCGUCGUCUCAAAUACUUUUUCAUGAGUCCCUGCGACAAGUUUCGAGCCAAGGGCCGCAAGCCCUGCAAGCUGAUGCUGCAAGUGGUCAAGAUCCUGGUGGUCACGGUGCAGCUCAUCCUGUUUGGGCUCAGUAAUCAGCUGGCUGUGACAUUCCGGGAAGAGAACACCAUCGCCUUCCGACACCUCUUCCUGCUGGGCUACUCGGACGGAGCAGAUGACACCUUCGCAGCCUACACGCGGGAGCAGCUGUACCAGGCCAUCUUCCAUGCUGUGGACCAGUACCUGGCGUUGCCUGACGUGUCACUGGGCCGGUAUGCGUAUGUCCGUGGUGGGGGUGACCCUUGGACCAAUGGCUCAGGGCUUGCUCUCUGCCAGCGGUACUACCACCGAGGCCACGUGGACCCGGCCAACGACACAUUUGACAUUGAUCCGAUGGUGGUUACUGACUGCAUCCAGGUGGAUCCCCCCGAGCGGCCCCCUCCGCCCCCCAGCGACGAUCUCACCCUCUUGGAAAGCAGCUCCAGUUACAAGAACCUCACGCUCAAAUUCCACAAGCUGGUCAAUGUCACCAUCCACUUCCGGCUGAAGACCAUUAACCUCCAGAGCCUCAUCAAUAAUGAGAUCCCGGACUGCUAUACCUUCAGCGUCCUGAUCACGUUUGACAACAAAGCACACAGUGGGCGGAUCCCCAUCAGCCUGGAGACCCAGGCCCACAUCCAGGAGUGUAAGCACCCCAGUGUCUUCCAGCACGGAGACAACAGCUUCCGGCUCCUGUUUGACGUGGUGGUCAUCCUCACCUGCUCCCUGUCCUUCCUCCUCUGCGCCCGCUCACUCCUUCGAGGCUUCCUGCUGCAGAACGAGUUUGUGGGGUUCAUGUGGCGGCAGCGGGGACGGGUCAUCAGCCUGUGGGAGCGGCUGGAAUUUGUCAAUGGCUGGUACAUCCUGCUCGUCACCAGCGAUGUGCUCACCAUCUCGGGCACCAUCAUGAAGAUCGGCAUCGAGGCCAAGAACUUGGCGAGCUACGACGUCUGCAGCAUCCUCCUGGGCACCUCGACGCUGCUGGUGUGGGUGGGCGUGAUCCGCUACCUGACCUUCUUCCACAACUACAAUAUCCUCAUCGCCACACUGCGGGUGGCUCUGCCCAGCGUCAUGCGCUUCUGCUGCUGCGUGGCUGUCAUCUACCUGGGCUACUGCUUCUGUGGCUGGAUCGUGCUGGGGCCCUAUCAUGUGAAGUUCCGCUCGCUCUCCAUGGUGUCUGAGUGCCUGUUCUCGCUCAUCAACGGGGACGACAUGUUCGUGACGUUCGCCGCCAUGCAGGCGCAGCAGGGCCGCAGCAGCCUGGUGUGGCUCUUCUCCCAGCUCUACCUGUACUCCUUCAUCAGCCUCUUCAUCUACAUGGUGCUCAGCCUCUUCAUCGCGCUCAUCACCGGCGCCUACGACACCAUCAAGUGCUCAAAAGCCAGUGUGGCUGGUGGCUGCCAUAUUGGACAGCAUAGAUAUUGAAUACUUCCAGCGCCUCUAGACUGAAGAGAUGGGAGCCCAGGGGCAGUGCACCGAGGGGAAGGAAUAGCUAAAGCAAAGGUCUAGUAGCCUGAAAAACCUUGGAGAAAAGAUGGCCCCUCCAUGAGGCCGAGUGAGAAGAAGGAAGCCUUGGCUGGGACCCUGCCACAUCCAAUGUCACCGGCAGAUGGGUACACCCCCUUUUCCCCAUGCAUGGAUUCAGCUGUCCCACAGACACAUUGACUCAGGCCCUUGGAACUACUUCCUGUCUUGCCUUAGCACGUAGACAUCACACACAUGCAUCCACUCGGGUGGGCAGUCUCAGGCCCUGCUCCCACUGCUGUGCUCAGCGUGCAUCCAGCUCACUCAAUUGAUGGUUUCUGAGCAUCGAGGUCAUGUCAGCCCUGGCUCUAGGUCUGUAGGUGCUGGACCUACAGCAGAAGGCAAAGACACAGACUGGCAAAGACACAGCUUGUAUCCACGUUCAGGGGUCAGGGAAGGUCCCUCUGUGCAAGCAAACUAUGGAACAACGGGUGGAGCAGGCCCAGCAAGUGCAAAGGCCCGGAGCAUCCCGGCGGCGCAGGCGCAGAGGACAGCGAGCUGCAGGCCUACAUCGCACAGUGCCAGGACAGCCCCACCUCCGGCAAGUUCCGCCGCGGGAGCGGCUCGGCCUGCAGCCUUCUCUGCUGUUGCGGAAGGGACCCCUCGGAGGAGCAUUCGCUGCUGGUGAAUUGAUUCGACCUGACUGCCGUUGGACCGUAGGCCCUGGACUGCAGAGACCCCCGCCCCCGACCCCGCUUAUUUAUUUUUAGGGUUUGCUUUUAAGGAUCGGCUCCCUGUCGCGCCCGAGGAGGGCCUGGACCUUUCGUGUCGGACCCUUGGGGGCGGGGAGACUGGGUGGGGAGGGUGUUGAAUAAAAGGGAAAAUAAA
This is an RNA transcript of Pan troglodytes (chimpanzee), 2748 nucleotides long. It is a transcript of the gene named mucolipin TRP cation channel 1, with no coding region annotated. The record is from RefSeq and is a predicted model, not a curated record. The transcript has 15 exons. NCBI's taxonomy places the organism in Eukaryota, Metazoa, Chordata, Mammalia, Primates, Hominidae.